Molecule: long non-coding RNA, 374 nt
Filed under: Homo sapiens (human)
Lineage: Eukaryota; Metazoa; Chordata; Mammalia; Primates; Hominidae
Description: non-protein coding lnc-NEMF-1:4
Rfam family: Metazoan signal recognition particle RNA (bases 61-360)
About the family: The signal recognition particle (SRP) is a universally conserved ribonucleoprotein. It is involved in the co-translational targeting of proteins to membranes. The eukaryotic SRP consists of a 300-nucleotide 7S RNA and six proteins: SRPs 72, 68, 54, 19, 14, and 9.
Source: RNAcentral
CGCUCCCCAAUGACGUAACUGCCCUGCAGCUUCUAGUAGCUUUUCGCAGCGUCUCCGACCGCCGGGCGCGGUGGCGCGUGCCUGUAGUCCCAGCUACUCGGGAGGCUGAGGUGGGAGGAUCGCUUGAGCCCAGGAGUUCUGGGCUGUAGUGCGCUAUGCCGAUCGGGUGUCCGCACUAAGUUCGGCAUCAAUAUGGUGACCUCCCGGGAGCGGGGGACCACCAGGUUGCCUAAGGAGGGGUGAACCGGCCCAGGUCGGAAACGGAGCAGGUCAAAACUCCCGUGCUGAUCAGUAGUGGGAUCGCGCCUGUGAAUAGCCACUGCACUCCAGCCUGAGCAACAUAGCGAGACCCCGUCUCUUUUGCCCCCCUCCCU